ACGGGUGAGUAAUGUCUGGGGAUCUGCCCGAUAGAGGGGGAUAACCACUGGAAACGGUGGCUAAUACCGCAUAACGUCGCAAGACCAAAGAGGGGGACCUUCGGGCCUCUCACUAUCGGAUGAACCCAGAUGGGAUUAGCUAGUAGGCGGGGUAACGGCCCACCUAGGCGACGAUCCCUAGCUGGUCUGAGAGGAUGACCAGCCACACUGGAACUGAGACACGGUCCAGACUCCUACGGGAGGCAGCAGUGGGGAAUAUUGCACAAUGGGCGCAAGCCUGAUGCAGCCAUGCCGCGUGUAUGAAGAAGGCCUUCGGGUUGUAAAGUACUUUCAGCGGGGAGGAAGGCGAUAAGGUUAAUAACCUUGUCGAUUGACGUUACCCGCAGAAGAAGCACCGGCUAACUCCGUGCCAGCAGCCGCGGUAAUACGGAGGGUGCAAGCGUUAAUCGGAAUUACUGGGCGUAAAGCGCACGCAGGCGGUCUGUUAAGUCAGAUGUGAAAUCCCCGGGCUUAACCUGGGAACUGCAUUUGAAACUGGCAGGCUUGAGUCUCGUAGAGGGGGGUAGAAUUCCAGGUG
This 577-nucleotide ribosomal RNA is filed under the name uncultured bacterium. Its description in RNAcentral is "bacterial SSU rRNA". It matches the Rfam family "Bacterial small subunit ribosomal RNA", at positions 102 to 675 of the family's 1533-position model. The record is from RNAcentral.